This is a long non-coding RNA of Cyanistes caeruleus (blue tit), 1549 nucleotides long. The record is from Ensembl. NCBI's taxonomy places the organism in Eukaryota, Metazoa, Chordata, Aves, Passeriformes, Paridae.
GAAGACUUAACCCAGGUUUAAGUGGACAAAGGUACACUGGAGAAUUGCAGCUGAUCUGGGGAAGUGAACUAAGCUUUUCCUAAGCUCAAAUUCACUCCUGACAAAUUCCUGAAAAAUAUUCCACAUGGAAACAAAACUUUUUCUUCCUCUGCUGCAAAGGGAAAGUGAAGAGAGCAGGAGAAUAUUUUUUCACCCUGUCCCUUCCUUUUGCUCUGCAAUUUUGUGUGACUUCUGAGUUUCAUCCAGCCCAGAGGCAGAGACUGUGCAGAAAUAAAGGUAACCUUUUUCAGUUUCCUGCACACUGCAGUGAGUGACAUAAUGUUGCAGAGAGAAGCCCCAUGAGGCAACAGAUUUUUGGUGUUAUUAGUUACUGUUUAGUAAUUUUCUCCUGGGAACAAAAAUGAAAAGCAACAGCAACAGGUCUUCACUUGCGAGUCAAGAAAACACAAAGGAAUAGAUCAACUGAAUUAGUUUGGGGGUUUGGUUAAUUAUCUCCAAAGCUUUUAGCUUAAACUCAUGUUCAGCUAAUCCCUGUCAGCUGCAUCUUCCCUUGUCAGCUGCAUCUUCUCUUGCCAACACAGAGGAAAUCAAUUCAUUCUCACAGAUUCCAGCUGUGUUUGUGAAGUUACUACAAAAGUGUUACUGCUGUGCUGUGAAUGCUUCUUUUUUUGUCAAGAAGCAGGCUUCAAUCUGGGAACAAUGAGGAGCAUCUAAAUUUAAUGAUUGCAAUGAACAAGCAUAAGAAGGUGAUUGCAACCAGGAGAGUCUGAUUUUUUACUUACUUGAAGGAGAAAGAUUGGGAGCAAUGGAAAGAAUGAAUUGUGCCAAUGAGUGAAUGAAAAAAUGAAUGGUUAUAGGUAAUGUGCCCAUGACAGGAAGGGAAGAAGGAUCUUCAGAGAGAGCUGUAUCAGAAGAAGUGGUAGGUAGUAUUAUUUUGUCAUGAAGAACCUGGGCUAGCCGUAAGAAAAGCCAAUCCCAGAAAAGAAACCAGAGGAAACUAACAGAUAAAAACAUGGAGGAAGACCUUGAAUGGGUCAGAAACUGCCAGGAAAGACACUGGUCUGGAAGUUCAUUCUCAUAGAAACAUUAAACAAUUUGAUAGUCCUUGGAAGUUAAGUUCUGCUUCUGAAAUUACAAAAUCUUGGAAGUUCUGUUCUGAAAUUAUGUUCAAUAGAUUUCCACAAGUCUACUUUUGCAAUCUCCAAUAGAAAACCAAAACACAGACCUAUAACUCCAGUAGCAAGGUGCAACGCUGCAAAAAUGCAGGUUUAUAUAACAGGAAAACAAAAGGCUACUAAUGGGACAGACAGCCCCAGCAAAUUAACCUCAAGAUAAGAAAAAAAAGGGAUAAAUUGAGAUGCAGAUCCUCAGCACCUGUUAGGUGCCCUAAAACACUGGAAUUGCUGGGGUCUGCUCAGACUCCAGAGGUAUAAAGAUACUUCUGUACCCCACCAGCAGGACAGCAAGGACCAUGAGGGAAACUCCUGCAAAAUACAUCAAUUCUUCCACUCUGUCUUGCCUGGCUGCAAUGUAGACCUCUGAAAAGUCU